RNAcentral lists this ribosomal RNA (379 nucleotides) under uncultured organism. Its description in RNAcentral is "partial 16S ribosomal RNA". It matches the Rfam family "Bacterial small subunit ribosomal RNA", at positions 527 to 896 of the family's 1533-position model. The record is from RNAcentral.
GUAGGUGGCAAGCGUUGUCCGGAAUUAUUGGGCGUAAAGGGCUCGCAGGCGGUUUCUUAAGUCUGAUGUGAAAGCCCCCCCGGGCUCAACCGGGGGGAGGGUCAUUCGGAAAACUGGGGAACUUGAGUGCAGAAGAGGAGAGUGGAAUUCCACGUGUAGCGGUGAAAUGCGUAGAGAUGUGGAGGAACACCAGUGGCGAAGGCGACUCUCUGGUCUGUAACUGACGCUGAGGAGCGAAAGCGUGGGGAGCGAACAGGAUUAGAUACCCUGGUAGUCCACGCCGUAAACGAUGAGUGCUAAGUGUUAGGGGGUUUCCGCCCCUUAGUGCUGCAGCUAACGCAUUAAGCACUCCGCCUGGGGAGUACGGUCGCAAAGACUG